RNAcentral lists this ribosomal RNA (515 nucleotides) under uncultured bacterium. RNAcentral describes it as "partial 16S ribosomal RNA". It matches the Rfam family "Bacterial small subunit ribosomal RNA", at positions 28 to 523 of the family's 1533-position model. The record is from RNAcentral.
GAUGAACGCUGGCGGCGUGCCUAACACAUGCAAGUCGAGCGAAUGGAUUAAGAGCUUGCUCUUAUGAAGUUAGCGGCGGACGGGUGAGUAACACGUGGGUAACCUGCCCAUAAGACUGGGAUAACUCCGGGAAACCGGGGCUAAUACCGGACAACAUUUUGAACCGCAUGGUUCGAAAUUGAAAGGCGGCUUCGGCUGUCACUUAUGGAUGGACCCGCGUCGCAUUAGCUAGUUGGUGAGGUAACGGCCCACCAAGGCAACGAUGCGUAGCCGACCUGAGAGGGUGAUCGGCCACACUGGGACUGAGACACGGCCCAGACUCCUACGGGAGGCAGCAGGAGGGAAUCUUCCGCAAUGGACGAAAGUCUGACGGAGCAACGCCGCGUGAGUGAUGAAGGCUUUCGGGUCGUAAAACUCUGUUGUUAGGGAAGAACAAGUGCUAGUUGAAUAAGCUGGCACCUUGACGGUACCUAACCAGAAAGCCACGGCUAACUACGUGCCAGCCGCCGCAGUAA